CAAAGGAAUUGACGGGGCCACACAAGCGGUGGAGCAUGUGGUUUAAUUCGAAGCAACGCGAAGAACCUUACCAGGUCUUGACAUCCCCUGACCAACCCGAGAGAUCGGGCGUUCCCCUUCGGGGGACAGGGUGACAGGUGGUGCAUGGUUGUCGUCAGCUCGUGUCGUGAGAUGUUGGGUUAAGUCCCGCAACGAGCGCAACCCUCGACCUUAGUUGCCAGCAGUUCGGCUGGGCACUCUAAAGGGACUGCCGGUGUCAAACCGGAGGAAGGUGGGGAUGACGUCAAGUCCUCAUGGCCUUUAUGGCCAGGGCUACACACGUACUACAAUGGCCGGUACAAAGGGCAGCGACAUUGCGAGAUGGAGCGAAUCCCGAAAAGCCGGUCUCAGUCCGGAUUGGAGUCUGCAACUCGACUCCAUGAAGUUGGAAUCGCUAGUAAUCGUGGAUCAGCAUGCCACGGUGAAUACGUUCCCGGGCCUU
Molecule: ribosomal RNA, 481 nt
Filed under: uncultured Desulfobulbus sp.
Lineage: Bacteria; Pseudomonadati; Thermodesulfobacteriota; Desulfobulbia; Desulfobulbales; Desulfobulbaceae
Description: bacterial SSU rRNA
Rfam family: Bacterial small subunit ribosomal RNA
Source: RNAcentral